This 24-nucleotide small RNA is filed under the name Arabidopsis thaliana (thale cress). Its description in RNAcentral is "ATSL230670". The record is from RNAcentral. Lineage: Eukaryota; Viridiplantae; Streptophyta; Magnoliopsida; Brassicales; Brassicaceae.
AACAUAGAAACAAACAAAAGAAAA